GCUGAUAUAGCUCAGUUGGUAGAGGUCGGCGGUUCAAAUCCGCCUAUCAGCACCA
Molecule: transfer RNA, 55 nt
Filed under: Pseudohaemophilus parahaemolyticus
Lineage: Bacteria; Pseudomonadati; Pseudomonadota; Gammaproteobacteria; Pasteurellales; Pasteurellaceae
Description: Haemophilus parahaemolyticus tRNA-OTHER
Rfam family: tRNA
About the family: Transfer RNA (tRNA) molecules are approximately 80 nucleotides in length. Their secondary structure includes four short double-helical elements and three loops (D, anti-codon, and T loops).
Source: RNAcentral